This 467-nucleotide ribosomal RNA is filed under the name uncultured bacterium. RNAcentral's name for it is "partial 16S ribosomal RNA". It matches the Rfam family "Bacterial small subunit ribosomal RNA", at positions 28 to 506 of the family's 1533-position model. The record is from RNAcentral.
GACGAACGCUGGCGGCGUGCUUAACACAUGCAAGUCGAACGGAAAGGCCCUGCUUUUGUGGGGUGCUCGAGUGGCGAACGGGUGAGUAACACGUGAGUAACCUGCCCUUGACUUUGGGAUAACUUCAGGAAACUGGGGCUAAUACCGGAUAGGAGCUCCUGCUGCAUGGUGGGGGUUGGAAAGUUUCGGCGGUUGGGGAUGGACUCGCGGCUUAUCAGCUUGUUGGUGGGGUAGUGGCUUACCAAGGCUUUGACGGGUAGCCGGCCUGAGAGGGUGACCGGCCACAUUGGGACUGAGAUACGGCCCAGACUCCUACGGGAGGCAGCAGUGGGGAAUAUUGCACAAUGUGCGGAAGCCUGAUGCAGCAACGCCGCGUGCGGGAUGACGGCCUUCGGGUUGUAAACCGCUUUCGCCUGUGACGAAGCGUGAGUGACGGUAAUGGGUAAAGAAGCACCGGCUAACUACGU